GACGAACGCUGGCGGCGUGCUUAACACAUGCAAGUCGAGCGACGAAGCACCUUCGGGUGUGAAUUAGCGGCGAACGGGUGAGGAACACGUGAGAAAUCUGCCUUCAACACUGGGAUAACUCCGGGAAACCGGGGCUAAUACCGGAUAUGAAACCUGCGGGCAUCCGCGGGUUUGGAAAGUUUUUCGGUUGAAGAUGAUCUCGCGGCCUAUCAGCUUGUUGGUGAGGUAACGGCUCACCAAGGCGACGACGGGUAGCCGGCCUGAGAGGGCGACCGGCCACACUGGGACUGAGACACGGCCCAGACUCCUACGGGAGGCAGCAGUGGGGAAUAUUGCGCAAUGGGCGAAAGCCUGACGCAGCAACGCCGCGUGAGGGAUGACGGCCUUCGGGUUGUAAACCUCUUUCAGCAGGGACGAAGCGCAAGUGACGGUACCUGCAGAAGAAGGACCGGCCAACUACGUGCCAGCAGCCGCGGUAA
This 479-nucleotide ribosomal RNA is filed under the name uncultured bacterium. Its description in RNAcentral is "partial 16S ribosomal RNA". It matches the Rfam family "Bacterial small subunit ribosomal RNA", at positions 28 to 523 of the family's 1533-position model. The record is from RNAcentral.